RNAcentral lists this ribosomal RNA (293 nucleotides) under uncultured Leptolinea sp. Its description in RNAcentral is "partial 16S ribosomal RNA". It matches the Rfam family "Bacterial small subunit ribosomal RNA", at positions 1074 to 1382 of the family's 1533-position model. Lineage: Bacteria; Bacillati; Chloroflexota; Anaerolineae; Anaerolineales; Anaerolineaceae. The record is from RNAcentral.
UUCGGUUAAGUCCGCUAACGAGCGCAACCCUCGCUGUGUGUUAUAUGUGUCACACGGGACUGCCGGUCUUAAGCCGGAGGAAGGUGGGGAUGAUGUCAAGUCAGCAUGGCCUUUAUAUCCUGGGCUACACACACGCUACAAUGGCCAACACAAUAGGUUGCUAAGCCGCGAGGUGGCGCCAAUCCAUAAAGUUGGUCUCAGUUCAGAUUGUAGGCUGCAACCCGCCUGCAUGAAGAUGGAGUUGCUAGUAACCGCAGGUCAGCUAUACUGCGGUGAAUACGUUCCCGGGGCUU